RNAcentral lists this ribosomal RNA (497 nucleotides) under uncultured bacterium. RNAcentral describes it as "partial 16S ribosomal RNA". It matches the Rfam family "Bacterial small subunit ribosomal RNA", at positions 28 to 507 of the family's 1533-position model. The record is from RNAcentral.
GAUGGACGCUGGCGGCGUGCCUAAUACAUGCAAGUCGAGCGAACGGACGAGAAGCUUGCUUCUCUGAUGUUAGCGGCGGACGGGUGAGUAACACGUGGAUAACCUACCUAUAAGACUGGGAUCACUUCGGGAAACCGUAGCUAAUACCGGAUAAUCUUCUGAACCGCAUGGUUCAAAAGUGAAAGACGGUCUUGCUGUCACUUAUCGAUGGAUCCGCGCUGCAUUAGCUAGUUGGUAAGGUAACGGGUUACCACGGCAACGAUGCAUAGCCGACCUGAGAGGGGGGUCGGCCGCACGGGAGCUGGAACGCGGUCCAUGCGACUGCGGGAGGCAGCAGUAGGGAAUCUGCCGCAAAAGGCGAGAGCCUUACGGAGCGGCGCCGCGUGAGAGAUGAAAGUCUUCGGAGCGUAAAGCUCUGUUAUUAGGGAAGAACAUAUUUGUAAGUAGCUGUACACAUCUUGACGGUACCUAAUCAAAAAGCCACGGCUAACUACGUG